CUCAAAUGUUACUUGUUGGUUGAACAUGACAUGCCUGCUAAGCAGUUAAUAAAAGGGAAAGGUGGUUGCCAUUGUCUCUGAAAGCUAUUCUUUCCAUUUAGGUCUACAGGGAAUAUGCUAUACUGAAAAUUUGAAAAGGAGAAUGGAAGCGAGGGUUGUGGCUCAAGAAUUGGUCCGCACUGCCCAAAAGCCUUAGAGAAAUGAUUUUUUCUCAGGUAGCAUAGCUGUAGAUUUGUUCCUCAUCUCUGAUCAUGUUCAUCUACACACUAGCAGCACGAGAGGCAAUGGCAUGCCCACAACUUCUCACCUCACCAGGGAGCCAAGACAUGGAUCAGGACCUUGCAGGUCACCCAUGGUCCUGGAUCAUACAAGUUACUCAGAUGUCAGGAUGUUUGGGGCAUACAAGAAUGAAGUCAUCAGCUUUGCUUGAAAUUUGGCAAUUACAGAAAGUAGACACUGUAUUUACACUUGCUGCAACUCCAAAACUCGGCUUGAUAUCUCUUGUUCUGUGGCCUUCCAAAACUGUCCUGGAAAUUGGUGCCCACUCUUCUACAAAUUAUGUGCACUCAAAAUCUUUUGUGUGGCUUUUUUUGGCACGCUGGGAUUUUAUCAAGGUAAAAAGAAUCAGAGUGACCACAGAAGAAAGAGAAGAAGCUCUUCCUUACACAGUAGCAAAAAAUUCAGUGUUUCAUAUUCCUUAUAGAAAUACAAUCUUGUGGUCAAAAAUACUUUGAUAUGUUUAAUAUAUUUCAAGCAUUUCCUGAAGUAUUUCCAUGUAUAUUAAUCAUGAAAUAUUCAUAUAUUUUUAAUAUGGGGGAAGAACCUUGAACUUUAACCAUGUAUCUGCAAGAAAAUGUCUAUUCUUCAUUCCAAGGUGUGUAUAAGGUUUAGGUAAGGAGUUUUGCUCAUUUCAAAUCUAUGGGACCAUAAAUUGUCUGUACAUGUAUAGAAAUCUCCCUUUGAGCUUUUGGUUUGAUACCAAUACUGAUUAUGCUUGCAGUGUGACAACAGUUACAUGUCCCUUGUUUAUUUUCCCCUCCAUCUGCAUGCAAAGAAGUCCUUGCUGUCAAUAUCCGUUACCCACAUGUAGCCAGAAGAGAUUGGACCUCACCCCAUUCCACCAGCAUUUUUCAAACUGUUAUAGCUAUGAGAUGAAAUCUCAUUUAUUUUAUGGCCACAAAUUUCAACAGGAAAUAGAGGGAUAAUUUGUUCUUCAUGGGAAAAAAAAAAAAAAAAAAAAAAGUUUCUGAUACCACCCAACACUUCAUUCUCAAUGAAGUUAGCUUUAAAGUUUCUUAAAGAGUUAUCUUAAAAAGAGAGAGAAUUUUUAAGUAACUUACAAAAUUGAAUAUAUAGUUGAUGGUUGAACUUAACAUGUCUGAUUCUCUGUUGCUAUGGAACUGGGAAGAAUCUGCAAUCUUUCAUUUGAUUUCAUUGAUGUAAGACAGCCAGUGACAUAUUGGAACACACUUCUUGCAUUACUAUUUCUAGAGUUUUCCUGAUUCUUUACCUGUUGAGUUUGAACUGAUAACUGAUUUUUUGAUCACAUAGACAAAAGGACAAUAUAAUAUGCUAUGUGAUUUUAGAAAUCCUUAUUAAGCAAGACAGAGUGCUGUACUUGCUCUCAGCACAUUUCAUGUAUGUGAAACUGAGUAAUAUUUUCCCUGCAUGUCUUAUGUAGACUAGACUAGACUAGACUAGACUAGAAUCAUUUAGGUUGAAAAAGACCUCAAA
RNAcentral lists this long non-coding RNA (1734 nucleotides) under Anas platyrhynchos platyrhynchos (common mallard). RNAcentral describes it as "lncRNA (ENSAPLG00000019293.1)". The record is from RNAcentral. Lineage: Eukaryota; Metazoa; Chordata; Aves; Anseriformes; Anatidae.